Long non-coding RNA from Ictidomys tridecemlineatus (thirteen-lined ground squirrel), 912 nucleotides. RefSeq lists it as uncharacterized. The record is from RefSeq and is a predicted model, not a curated record. NCBI's taxonomy places the organism in Eukaryota, Metazoa, Chordata, Mammalia, Rodentia, Sciuridae.
UGAAACGCGCCUCCGUCGCGGGCGCGGGCACGUAAGGCUUCACUCAAUGGACCCCGCCCCCGGCCGAGCCCGGAAGAAGCUCCAGGCUAAGGCCCACUCUAACCGAGGCUGCCAUCUUGGAAGAGGGUGUGGAAACCGCGCAAGCGGCCAUCUUUUCUAAGGGAAACUCGUUAUUUCUCGCAUAGAGUGGGAAUUCCACUGAAGUCAUCGUCUGCAGUACAGGAAGCGCCUCUUUUGGGACCGAUGCAGGCAAUUACUGAAACCUUUUCUUUUUAAGGUGAAGAUUUCUGAUUACGGUAUUUCCUGCUCAUUAAGCAGUACUCCAAUCAUCUACUUUAUAUCCUCUAUCGUGCGGUAGAAAUAUUACUGUGAGUUGAUAAUAUUGCAUCUAAGUGAAGCAACCAGAAGGAUUCUCAGCUACUGUUGUCCUGCGUCUUUAAUGAUAGGUGAAUACAUUAGCAUUACCUUUAAAAAUCCACUACAUUUCUACCUAGCUUUCUUGUAUUGUCUUUCUUCAGAAUACAAGUGGAGACCUUUUCCAGUUCGCCUUCAGACGCCUUCAGUUUGAACAAUCUUGUGUACAUUAUGAAACCGUGCCUUAGUUUCCCUAAGUGUAAAAAAAAGAAAUAGUAGUAACAACUACUGCAGAGGUAGGUUGUGAGGAUUAAACGAGUUACAAUGCUGAAAAACCUAGACAUAUCUGACCCUGAGUAAAAAUUCUGAGUUAGUUAUUAUCAUUAUGGGGUGGAGUGUCUUGCCUGCCUGGGGAAGACUUCUAAUUCUCACUUCUCUCUAAUCAUCCUUUCUUUCCCCAAACACAAAAGGUGGGGGAAAAAAGCAAACACCAUGUUUUUUAUUCUCACUGACAGGUUCCUCUAGACCUCUCAGUAUUAAAAGCUUCAUAAUUUUGCA